AACGAACGCUGGCGGCAUGCCUAACACAUGCAAGUCGAACGAGACCUUCGGGUCUAGUGGCGCACGGGUGCGUAACGCGUGGGAACCUGCCCUUAGGUUCGGAAUAACUCCCCGAAAGGGGUGCUACUACCGGAUAAUGUCUUCGGACCAAAGAUUUAUCGCCUUUGGAUGGGCCCGCGUUGGAUUAGCUAGUUGGUAGGGUAAAAGCCUACCAAGGCGACGAUCCAUAGCUGGUCUGAGAGGAUGAUCAGCCACACUGGGACUGAGACACGGCCCAGACUCCUACGGGAGGCAGCAGUGGGGAAUAUUGGACAAUGGGCGAAAGCCUGAUCCAGCAAUGCCGCGUGAGUGAUGAAGGCCUUAGGGUUGUAAAGCUCUUUUACCCGGGAUGAUAAUGACAGUACCGGGAGAAUAAGCUCCGGCUAACUCCGUG
This 433-nucleotide ribosomal RNA is filed under the name uncultured bacterium. RNAcentral's name for it is "partial 16S ribosomal RNA". It matches the Rfam family "Bacterial small subunit ribosomal RNA", at positions 29 to 507 of the family's 1533-position model. The record is from RNAcentral.